RNAcentral lists this ribosomal RNA (223 nucleotides) under uncultured bacterium. RNAcentral's name for it is "partial 16S ribosomal RNA". It matches the Rfam family "Bacterial small subunit ribosomal RNA", at positions 15 to 228 of the family's 1533-position model. The record is from RNAcentral.
GAUCCUGGCUCAGGAUGAACGCUGGCGGCGUGCCUAAUACAUGCAAGUAGAACGCUGAAGCUUGGUGCUUGCACCGAGCGGAUGAGUUGCGAACGGGUGAGUAACGCGUAGGUAACCUGCCUCUUAGCGGGGGAUAACUAUUGGAAACGAUAGCUAAUACCGCAUAAAAGUCGAUAUCGCAUGCUAUUGAUUUGAAAGGUGCAAUUGCAUCACUAAGAGAUGG